This is a long non-coding RNA of Stegastes partitus (bicolor damselfish), 2782 nucleotides long. RefSeq lists it as uncharacterized. The transcript has 2 exons. NCBI's taxonomy places the organism in Eukaryota, Metazoa, Chordata, Actinopteri, Pomacentridae. The record is from RefSeq and is a predicted model, not a curated record.
UAGCUCUCUUUCUCUCCCCUUCUGUCCCUCCCUCCCUCUUUCUGUCUGUUCUGCCACCUUCUCUACUCGGCGAUCAGCAUUUGGCUUUUUCCAUUUGUGGCAGAUUACUGUAACGCUAUUGUACAACAACUUCCUGCCUCUUUUGGCUCUGGUUCUAAAAACUGCAAAGGCAGAGCUCGUGGCUUUAACUUUUUCCCCCCUCGGCCUUGAACUACAGGAGCUCUAUGAGGGAAGAAAAGGAGGAAGGGGAUAUGUAAAGUGUAUCUGUUACUGAGGAACUAUUUUGAUUUCAUUUCUGCUUUAUAAACUGCUGAGAAUUAAAGAGGGCAAGAGGGGACUACAUGCCUAAGCAGAGACAAUGAGAGAAAAAAGGAUUCUGAAGGAAGAAGAGGAGGAAGGGAGACACAGAGAGAAAAAGAGCAAAGGAGAGCUUAUCCUGGGAAUAAGCUGGAAAUUAUGGACCUAUUCGAUAUCAGACCUCAGAGUGGACAACCUAUCCUAGGAGGGACGCGCCCUAACUGUAACUAACAACUACUUCUGGCAACCCCUCAACAGCCAGACAUAUUGUCCUGGAUCAGGGCCGCUUUCGUAUGGCAGCACCGAACGAGGGCAGCUCAGGCAGGAAAUCCACAUCCAGCCACAGCAUCAACAAUAUUGAGAAUAAAACAAUGCAUUAAAAGGAAAUUCAAGCAUUGUUUUUUAGAUUUAGUUUGAACUGUAAACUGUGAUCCUUUUAAGAUUUUUCUCAUCAAACUUUAAACAUAAAUAGGUAAUGCAAAGUAGAGGAAAAUAAAUCAACUACGAUUUUCAGACUACACAGUGGAGUUUGCACAGAUUUACUUAUUUUUUUUAAAUGCUAUUAUUACCAACUUAAAUGUUUCUUCGUACUUUUUUAAAAAAAUACUGUGACAUUACAAGCCCAAAAUGAAAUGCUGACACACAUGGUGUGCUGAUUUAAUCCCACACUACAAGGCUGCAGAUGACAAAACUACAUUAAAGCAGAAGCAAACAUAUUGUUUAAAUUAAUAUGUAAGAAAUCAAACUUUAAAAAAAAAAAAAAAAUCUAAUUGAAAACUCUUUUUACUGAUGAUUUAUUAGUUGUAACACCAGUGUUGUUACGGAAAUCACGAGACAUUUCAGUGUAGUAAAAGCCCUGUACAUGUCAGACACAUUGGCACUGAGUAUAAUCUGAUGUUAGAGAAACUGCACUGUGAGAAGACUGAUCUGCGGCACCACGUUUAACUGAGGUGCCGGGACAAAUUCUCAAAAGUCAAUGACACGUAAUAAUAAUAAUAAAAAAGUACAUUCUCCUUCUCUGUCCACUUGACUAGCUGUGUCGCACUUCUACAUACCUGAACUCUCCCCAUUGCAGUUUUCCCCCCUGAGGGCUGCUAGUACCUACUUUAAACAGCCUUGGCCAUUUCGUUUUUAUCCUUCCUCAUCACUAAGCCAAGAGUGUGCAGCCCUGGCAUUUUAGGGGCCACGUCACAACGCCUGUGUCUGCGCCGCAGGGCUGCAAGGAGUCCAGCAGCUGAGCCAUACGCACUCAGCGGUUCACUGCCUCAACCAACACUUUCUGCGUGCUGUUUUGUUAUCUCACACACUCCGUCUAGCAUCCUUGCUCGACUGAGAACAGCAAAACAUGCACCUAAUACGCUUUAUCCAAUUCACAAACGUGCUCUCCUCCUUCAGAGAGCCCCUGAGCCUGCAGCCCUCGAGUCGCUUCGCAGCACUUCCUAACAUCUGAUUACCACAACGAUAUUAGCUUAGGUGCACAACAGCUUCACUCGAAGACAACAAGUAAGGAAGGAAAUAUUCCAUACGCUUGUCCAAUUCCCAAUUCAGCAAUGCUAUUUAAUGAGCUUCAUAUCUGUUUCAAACUUUCUGCAGAGUAAAUGCGGCACCCUAUAAAAGGCGACACACUAUAAGCCCUGAUAUUGAUUCGAAAGUGGCACAAAUAAAAACACUGAUUACACAGAUUCCACUUGUGCUGACAGCCUAUAAUUGAUAUGUGUAAUGCUAUUAGCAGGAGGAUAUUUAUCCAUGUGGGAGAAAAGCAGCGCUUCACUGGACAGCUGCGUAAACAGAGGUUGUACUCCAUGGGCUUUUUCUGCAAUUUUAGUGGCUCUUUCAAUUCCUGCAAAAUAUUGUUUUUAAAAAUAUCAAAAUCAUACGUCUUUCCAAAAUGCUUCACUUUUCAAAGAAAACAGACCUCAUGCCAACUCCAUAUAUGUCUAAAACUAUAUAUUGCACAUGUUUUGUUUAUAUAUAUAUGUUUGUUUUCUUUUGUACUUUACUUGUUGACAAUAUUUUAAAGUAUGCAGACACUUAAAGUAAUGAUCAUUUAUUGUAAAGGUACAUUUCUGUAUGUUGUUUCCUGCACUGCCUUUAAGUAGACAAAUUAGUUUGUACAGAUGCAGUGACUUAUUCUAUUACUCUGUUAUCUUUGUGCCCAUUAGAGGAGCGUGCACAGGCAGUAAAGAGCUUGGUCAUCUGAGGACAAGCCCGCUGUAUUAAGGGGUUGCCUCCAUAAGCCUGAACCUUUGGGUGUACGCAGAUGUUCUUUAUGUAAUCCUGUGUGCUGACAACUGGUUGGUGUGCGUCCUGGAUGUACUGGGAUACAGCAAGCGAAUGUGCACUUUAAAUGAUCUAAAUAUUUUAUGUCAUAUGUUCUCACUUCUAUUUUUCCUGGAAAUGCUUGAAGCUGUGUGUUUUUUUAAAUAUAAAGAUGUUUGAGUUGCAUUUCAGGUUAAAUGUGUGAUAAAAAACAAUGUUUAUUAUU